GGGGAAGCUCUGCUUUGGCAGACAAACAAAACUACACCCAGAGCAACACUUAGCGAAAGAGCAGGACUGCUUUCUUGUUCAAAUUGCAGUGCUGUUUUAUAUUAAAAUUCAUGAGUAAUUUUAGCUCAAAACUUCCAGUAUUUGCAAUUGUAUCUGAUCGUUGUGAGCUAUUUUCUGAUUAUCAAACUAAAGGAAUGUCUCGGUACAAGCAACUGAACAUCACCGCCUGUUAUGAGGUUGGGAUGGGUACACCAGGUGUUCCACAAGGCUCAGUAGUGAGACUUUGGCUGCUUAUGUGACUGUCGUGGUUCUGCGUGGUCUUGUGCCCUCUGCCACCCCAUUCCGUCCCACAGCACCUGGGGCUGGAACCCGGGUCUCCAGUGUAACGCAACAGGGAACCAGCUCGCAUGACCUCCCUCAGCCCAGGCAGCCGAGGUCCCUGCUACGCGCAGUGAGGGCGAUGACGUCACCGUAUCCGAACUAGCUCUGCUACAUCCACCCCUGCUGACUUCGCCUCAGGAAAGGACACUCCCGUCUGGUUCAUGGCACCAGUGUGACCGUCGCUGUUCCGCGCGGGCUCAUGCCCUCCGUCACCCCGUUACGUCCCGCAGCACCAAAGGGCGCAAACCCGGGUCUCUGGCAUAACACAACAGGGAACCAGCCGCUUGAGCUAAAGGAGACCUCCCUCAGCCCAGGCAGCCGAGGUCCCUGCUACGCGCAGUGAGGGCGAUGACGUCACCGUAUCCGAACUAGCUCCGCUACACUUAGUAUUUAUAUGUGUCCACAAAUUCUGUGGUCAAAUACUAAAGUUAAAUGGUCUAAAUCAUGCAGAUGAUGCUCACAUCUACAGUAUGUCCAAAUUGUAUUUGAGGCAAUGCUAGCCAUUUCUGUACUCUAUGAAUUUCUGCAUGACACAAAUGGUUUACAUCUCAAUUAUGCUAAGACUCAGGACAUGUUAUUGGGGUGCUUCUACCAAUAAAGUAAAAUCUCUGUUGUAAUCUUGUCAGGUGAUGGAACUAUACUCUAGUUUCCAUCCUUAAUGAUACAUCUGAGGGUGAUUAUUGAUCCUGGAUUAACGUUUGUACUUUAUGUGCAGAAAAUCAUAAAUAUUCAACUUUUAAAUCUUAGAAAUUUUGCCAGGCUGGUCCUCACUGUUCAUGUCUUGUGAAAGAAAAAUGAGUUAAUCAUUUUAUCUUUUUAAGGAUUCAAGGAUUAUUAUAACAUCCUAAAUGCUAAAGUCUAUAAAGCUAUAGACUUGUAAUGUUCUAAUAUGUUCAGAAAUUUGCAGCUGAUUCCUGACUGCUAGGAUACAUGCAACUGAUCGCACCACUCCUAUAACGGAGUGCUUGCACUUGUUUUAAAUUGAUUUUGAAAUCCUUCUGCUUAUAAUUAAGGCUCUACUUUGCUUACUUUCUCAUUAUCUAGCUGAUAUAUUACCUUUGUAUUCUUUUUCACACAACCUUUGCUCAGCUAAUACUGGUUUAUUAUGUGUUCCCACUGUUCAUCUACUUUCUAUGGAUAUGAGCGCAAUGUCUCUGCAACAUGUCUCAAUGCUCUAAACCAAACCCAAAAGAAAGGGACAGUGUUGUCUGUAUUAUUUUUUUCAAAUGUACUUCUUUUA
This 1621-nucleotide long non-coding RNA is filed under the name Lepisosteus oculatus (spotted gar). RNAcentral describes it as "lncRNA (ENSLOCG00000022968.1)". The record is from RNAcentral. Lineage: Eukaryota; Metazoa; Chordata; Actinopteri; Semionotiformes; Lepisosteidae.